ACUGCUAUAUUCCUAAAGUUGUACCUAUGAAGUUUGCAUUCAUUAAAUAAAAGCUUUAAAAGGGGGGGGGGGUGGUUCCCACCAGUUCCCACCAACAGUCAUGCCAGGGAUUAGUGUGUGCACUGACAUAACACUCAGCAAGGCAACAGUGUUUAAUCUCCUGAGUCAUCUUAUGGCUUCCGGGAGGAGAGGACUUAAGACUCAUGGCCCAAGGACAGUGGCCACACCCUCUUGAAGCAUAGGAACUCACAGGUACCUCCCCAGGGCACAGUCUGCAGGCUCAGCCAUUUAUAAAGCCACAAUUACCUUUUAAAUUUAAUUAAUGUGCCUUGUUUUUCCUUUCUUCUUCCAUUACAUAUUUUACUUGUGUGCUCUCCACCCAGAGUUGUGGGUAUUUGUCUGGUUUGGAUUUCUUUUCUGAUUUCUUGGUGAGUUUCUGCAUCGCCCUAGGAUUUGGCUAUGUCCAGAAAGCAUGAGCACAUCGUUAUUUUUUUUUUUUUAAAGAUUUAUUUAUUUUUACUUGAAAGUCAGAGUUACACAGAGAGAGAAGGAGAGGCAGAGAGAGGUCUUCCAUCCACUGAUUCACUCCCCAAUUGGCUGCAAAGGCCAGAGCUGCACCAAUACAAAGCCAGGAACCAGGAGCUUCUUCCAGGUCUCCCACGCGGGUGCAGGGGCCUAAGGGCUUGGGCCAUCUUCUACUGCUUUCCCAGGCCGUAGCAGGGAGCUGGAUAGGAAGUGGAGCAGCCAGGACUCGAACUGGUGCCCAGAUGGGAUGCUGGCACUGGAGGUGGUGGCUUUACCCACGAUACCACAGUGCCAGCCCCAAGCAUAUCAUUAUUGAUACUGAUUAUUCAUCUUUUUUUUUUUUUUUUUUGACAGGCAGAGUGGAUAGUGAGAGAGAGAGAGAGAGAGAGAGAGAGAGAAAGGUCUUCCUUUUGCCGUUGGUUCACCCUCCAAUGGCUGCCACGGCUGGUGCACUGUGGCCAGCGCACCGCGCUGAUCCGAUGGCAGGAGCCAGGUGCUUCUCCUGGUCUCCCAUGGGGUGCAGGGCCCAAACACUUGGGCCAUCCUCCACUGCACUCCCUGGCCACAGCAGAGAGCUGGCCUGGAAGAGGGGCAACCGGGAAAGAAUCCGGCACCCUGACCGGGACUAGAACCCGGUGUGCCAGCUCCGCAAGGCGGAGGACUAGCCUAUUGAGCCGCGACGCCGGCCGAUUAUUCAUCUUAUAUGUCGACCAUAGGCUCAAAGAGCUGGCAGGAAGUUGGAGACAUCUUAGUGUAGUGGUCAUUGAUCCCGCUAGGGAAAUUGCCCAGUCUCCCUUCUUUCAGGCAGAAUUGCCUUUAAAGUUCUUUUACAUGUUUUAUGGAUAAGGUUUGCAAAGGCCAUGUCACAUAUUCCAGAACAUUCAGUGCAAUCGAUUCACCUGAUUUCCAGGGACAAAUUGAUGUCUUAGGCUUUUUGCUUUCUUAUCCUGGCAAGGAAUAAUGUGAAGUUGCCAGUUGAAAAAUUCAUGUCGGCCGGUGCCAUGGCCCACUUGGCUAAUCCUCUGCCUGUGGCACUGGAAUUCCAUAUGGGCACCGGGUUCUAGGCCCAGUUGCUCCUCUUCCAGUCCAGCUCUCCGCUGUGGCCCUGGAAGGCAGUGGAGGAUGGCCCAAGUGCUUGGGCCCCUGCACCCACAUGGGAGACCAGGAGGAAGUACCUGGCUCCUGGCUUUGGAUCGGUGCAACGCCGACCGUAGCAGCCAUUUGGGGAGUGAACCAACAGAAGGAAGACCUUUCUCUCUGUCUCUCUCUUUCUCACUCUCUGACUCUACCUGUCAAAUAAAUAAAAAAAAAAGAAGAAGAAAAAUUCAUAUGUGAAACACUAAGGGGUCUAUAAUGCAUAGAUUCAGAAUGCCAUGACAUGGCAAUGGUCACCUCACCCAUUGUAUAAUUUCUAUUGAACAGUAUACCCCUGUAGAGCAGGGGUAUACUGUGAGCGGAUCUAAGUACAGUUCUCAGAAAUAGCUAUGGGACAUCUGGCAUUCAGCCUUAUCAGCUAAUUUAUGGGGCAUUAGGGGACCAUGGCCCUCAGGGUGAGGUUGGCAAGGAGUAAUCUGAUAUGGUUAGGGAUAGCACUGUACUUGCACGCACUGGGCAGCAGUGUGGAGGCUAGGCUUGUCCUAGUUGAGGACACUGGAUAGGUUUACCAGUUGAGGUAAACGCUUAACAGGGCAGAGGGACCUCAUUCCAGGGCUGCAGUCAGAAGGAAGUAAUAAUGAAAAAAUACUAACAAAACAGCCUGAUUGAUGAAAUGCAUUUAAAAAAAACCACAGUGGGUAGGCUGGAUAGGCCCCCCUUCCUCCUAGUCAGGGUGUUCACCCUGUGGGUGGGUGAGGGCUAGGCCAGAGGGCUCCAGCAUGAGGGUAUUAGUCACCAGAGACGGGGGCAAGAGGCUGCAAGGAGAGAGAAGAAAGGCAGGGAGUCAGAAAGCGGUACUGGAAGGCAAAGUUUACUGUCUUGCCAAAGGUCAGAGGGGAGCGUUUCUUCAGCCAAUCUGUGAUACGCAUCGCAUUCAUGAGAGCUCCUUCACUCUAUACCCUUCUGUCCUACAUGGAACGGUGAGGUGUCUGGUUAGGAGCUGUCCAAUUGCAAGGAAGACACCCACUCAAGCUUGUGCAAGGACAGCUCAGGGGAGGGGAAUUACUAAAGCUAGAGAGACAUCUCCCAGAAUCCAAACCAUGGGCCUCACAGGAGUCUGACUCAUGGCAGGCAGUGUGGCAUGUGCUUUCUUUCUCUCCUCCAGGGACUGUGCAGCCUCGUGCCUCUGUUGCUCCCUGCACAUGGCAGUGGUCACAUGUCUGCACAUCGGCCACCUUCUUGAGGCCUCUUGCAUGGGCUUUGGGUUACCACCAGAUGACUUCGUCUUGACUCUCCAUCUAAUUACAGUGGCAGUGUCUUCGAAUAGAGAUCUUUGAAAGAAAAACUGAUUGGCCCGAUGUUUGCCCUUGGGCCAAUCAGCUGUGCCAGAGGGUAGAAGCCCAGGACAAAGAGUGUGGGUAUGCCUGCUGUGUUCUCUGCACCUAGCAAGCCUCGGAGAGCCUGGACCAGGAACCGCUCAGCUUAUCUCCCUCCAUCUUCGGGAUUAGAGCUGUUAUUUUCUCCUAUUUGUUAUUGGACCUAACUCCCUAUUUAAUAAGCCCGCUUCUUUCUAUACUUCACACAAGACAUGGAAAGGGAUAAGGUGGAUUAAAUAUCACUCCUGGUUUUAUCACUAGGAGUCAGAUGUCUGUGGGUAGCUCCAGUUCUUGGCCUUCAUUCCUUCACCUCUAGAAUGGGCAGAAUACUGUGGACCCUACAGGAUAAUGUAUUUAAGGCACGCAGCGAAGUUCCUGACACGUCAUCAUCAUGUGGCUAAUGCUCAUGUCCUCCCCUCUCAUGCCCACUCAGCCUCCACUGUUGGGGCCAUGGCUAGCUGACAUUUCUGAGGGUGACCCCAGCUUAGCAUUUUAGAACAAACAGGACACUCGUUGGCUGUGGCUGCAUAAGCAGCUUAAAGGCAGAAACAAGUCUGAUGUCAGUGGUGAGAGAGCAUAGCAGCCUCUCGAUUAGGCACAUAGUAGAUUCUUUGUUUCUAAUUGUGGUGAAAUACACAUAACAUUUACCCUCUUACUUUCUUUUAGUUGUACAGUUAUUCAAUGCAUUCAUAAGGCCUUAUACCCAUCACCACCGCCUAUUGAUAGAACGCUACAUCUUGUAAAACAGAAACUCUGUACCAAUUAAACAAUAACACCCUCUUCUCCACUCCCCACAGCCUCUGGCAAUGACCAUUCUACUUUCUGUCCCUCUGAGUUUGCCUACUCUAAGUACCUCAUUUAAGUGGAAUCAUCAAUGUUCACAAUUUUAUGACUGCCUUAUUUCUCUAUGUCUUCAAGACUUAUCAACAUUGUAGCAUGUGUCAGAAUUUCUUUCCCUUUUAAAAAAUUUAUUUUCAUUUUAUUUGAAAAGCAGAGAAAGGAAGAGACAGAGACAGACAGACAGGGAUCUUCUGUCCACUACUUCACUUCCCAAAUGCCCCCAACAGCUGGCGCUGAACUAGGCUGAAACCAGGAGCUGGGGACCCAGUAUGGGUCUCUCAGGUAGGUGGCAAAGACCCAAUUUUUGGGGCCAUUACUGCUGUCUCCCAGAAUGCACAUGAGCAAGAAGCUGGGAUUGGAAGUGGGGGGUGAGAAUUGCACUGAUGUACUUCAAUCUGAAGUAUGAGUGAUUUAAGCACUGUGCCAUAUACCUGUCCCCCUUUCCUCUUUAAAGCUGAAUACCAUAGCAGUGUAUGUCUAUAAUUCAUUUUGUCCAUUGAUGGACAAUUUAAGUUGUUUUCAAAUUUUGGCUACAGCAAACAAUGUUGCUAUGAACAUUAUGGUGUACAAUUACCUAUUUGUAUGCCUAUUUUCCAUUCUUUAGAAUCAUACAAAAAUUUUUAUUUUUAAUUUUCUGAGAAACUGGCCUACAGUUUUCCAUAGCAGCUGAACCAUUUUACAUUCCUACCAGCAAUGCAUAUGGGUUUCAAUUUCUCCAUAUCCUCAACAGCACUUGCUAUUUUCUGCUUUUAUUUUUGGUUUUUUUUUUUUUUUUCAAUAAUAGCUAUCCUAGUGGGUGUAAAUAUAGUAGGUUCUUAGUAACUCUCCAUUGCCUUGGAUUUUCCAUUCACACUCAACUCAUUACAUCCUCCAUGGCAGCAGUUAAACAAUCCCCUUUGGCAGGGUCCCAUGGGCAGCCCAAGAGAGCCUUAUGCUUGUGGAGUCUGUGUGGCCAGGGUGUGCUGGGAGCCACAGCAGAGCUAAAGACCUGCGGGAAAUAGCCUUGGUCCCCUACAAUUCUAGGUCUUCUGAUUGAUUGGGCAUCCUGCUCCUCCCAGAAUCACAUCCUGGGAGAUCAGAGUAACCUUUAAUCAGAACUCUCUGUAAGUCUAUCUCCUAAUAUCCUAAACUCCUUUGUGGCACCUAUUGGAAUUAUAGCUAUAUAUUUUCUGGCUUAUUGGAUUUCUGUCUGCCUCCUCCAUCUGACAGGAAGCUUUAGGAGGGCAGGGGCCAUGUCUUUCUUCAGCAUCUAGCUCGAUGCCUGGCAGACAGUAGAUGGUCAGCAAGAAGUGAUUGAAUGACUGAUUCUGACUUCUCCCUUCAUUCCUUCAGGUCAGGGUCUUCCAGGCCAAAGGGAUCAAUAGGAACAAACAGGACCAGAUCUCUAUGCCCAGAAACUGUUGUGGGGAUCGGGACCCCCAACUGUGUUCAGGUAGACCCCUGGCUAGACUUAGUCCAGGUUCUGUCCCCUGCAUGUUGGAAUACAACUAGGGAAUGUCAAUAGAAAUGAGUAGGGAAGCAAGAUUUAUUGAAAGGCAAGGGGAUAGUACACACUCAGAGGAGAGUGCAGAAAGCCUCCUGAGGGAGAAUUUCCCUUGCCCAGGCUGGAGUCCUCCUUUAACAGGAUAAUGGAUGGUGCUCCAGGCACAGUCUGAUUGAAUGUUCAAAGGAGGAAGGGUUUGGAGUGGGGCUGCAGUGCACAUGGUAAGCUCCAAGAAGGUGUCAUGGUAUCUUGUGCAUGAUGGGAAGUGAGGUUUAGCUGCAUGAGGAGGUAUGGCUGUGCCAAGCCUUCAUCAUGUUGAAUCUGCAUGGAAGGUGAUAGCAUUUGGACGCUGCCGGUGGCCUGGGUGCUGGCCGACCUCAUCUCCUUGUGUUAUUAGCUACCUGUCUACCUGUCUACCUAUAUCGAAACUACGUGACUGAUCUUGGUUAUUAAGAAUGUCAGGAAUUCCCCAGGCUUCUGGGAUCCAUGAAGCUGCAUCUCAAAGGAGGCCAGAAGGCAGGGGAGUCCCAGGCUCCCUUUAACCUUGACCUGGGGCUUUGUCUUUUAAUGGCAAGAAAUCUCUCUGAAUCUGUUUCCCCAGCUGUGAAGUGGGAAUGAGACCUACCUCAGAAUCACAUAUGAUGGUAGAAGAGUAUUUAAGGUGCCUGUUUUAGUCUUACCCUGCCUCUGGAAGCACAUUGCAAAGAGAAAAAAAUCAGGUUGGAUUAGAGACUAAAGAAAGAUGAAGUUUUCAGAUCAAGUGGUGACCACUGACACAGCACCAGUAAGCUGUCCUUUCAGGUAGUGAAGCUGUGAAUCUGGAAAAGAGGUGGACAUUGGGUUCACUUUUGCCCAACAGUUAGUCAGUCUGAUGAAAAGAAGGCAGACCACUUUACUAUAUUUUACCCUGUUACUCCAUUUGACGAUUAUUUGUUUGUGUGCCAGAUUAUUUACAGCAGCAUUGUACAAUAGAACUUUCUAUGAUGGUGGAACUAUUCAAGAUCUGCCCUGUGCAAAAGGGGACCCACUAGCCAUGUGGAAAUGUGGCCUGGGACAGGAAUUGAAAUGUUAACAUUAACCUUAAUUUCAAUAUACAUAACCACAUGUAGGUCCUGACAACCACAUGGGAGCGCACACACAGUGGCAGAACAGUCACAGUAGCUGACUGUCCUUGUGUGGCUCUCAGUGUUGCCAGAAUCUCUACACCUCAUCUGUAAAAUGGAGAGGGUAAUGGUGCCUUGUUUGGAACACAGUUGCAUGAGCUGAAUGCAACUGAAAAUACCUAGACAGUGCUUUAAGCCUUCAUUGCUACUUGGGUCUUGUGGCGAUUUGGGCCUAGGUGAUAAUGAUGCCUUCCUCUGAUACCACCUCUACCAUUUAUUCACUUCAUUUUUUUUUAAAGUUGCAUUCAUUCUCCAUUUUAUUUGAAAGGUGAAGAGGCAGAGAGAGCAAGAUCAUUUAUCUGCUGAUUCACUCCCCAAAUGCCUACAAUGGUUAGGUUUGGGCCAGGCCAAAGCCAGGAGCCAGGAACUCAUUCUGGGUCUCCCAUGUGGGUAUUGCUUCCCAGGGUGCACUUUAGCAGGAAGUGGGAUUCAAAGUGGAAGUGGGGUAGUUGGGACUCAAAUCAGGCACUCCAAUAUAGGAUGCAGGUGUCCCAAGCAGUGACUCAACUCCUGGCAAACACCCACCGCAUCCAGUGCUUACACUGUGCCUCACACCUGUGUGUGUCCUAGCUUACUGAAUCCUAAGAGCACUUUUUGGAAGUAGGUAUUGUAUCACCUUCAUUUUCUCUAUGAAGAGGCUGAGGCAGGUAGAACUGUGGGCUUAGCUGGACUCCAGGUUAUCCUUGUGUACUCCCUGGGCUCAGAGUGGAUGAAGAAAUCCCGUACCACUGGUGCCUGCCCAAUCAAGUUCAAGGAAUGCCUGCCUCUCCCCGCCUUCUGAACAGUGGGUUGGGGUCAUUGGGACUCAUUGGGAAAGAGGAAGUGAGUAUACCAAGAACAAAAGAACUUGAAAAAAAAGAAAGAAAAAUAAAACCCAGCCUUCUUGGGAAAGCUUGCCACAGGAUAAAGAAAGCCUUUAUGUGUGAUUCAGCGGCUCAGAGGUGACAUAGCUUAGCUGUGAAUCAGUUCCCCUGAUAAGCAAGUGCAGCCAUUUUACUAGUGGAGGCUAAACCCCUAACUUACUGUAUAUAAACUAUUAAAACUCACAUGUUUGCCUGGCAGGGUGAAGCUGUACUUUAUUUUAACUCCCUUCUAGGUUUGUACCCUCAUUAUCUUUUUCAUCCCAAUAGCAUAGCUCAUAAAUGAGAAAGGAAAAAACAGCUUACUAGCUGUUUAACACUGUGCUAAAUGCUUCACUUAUGUUUACUUGUUUAAUUUUAAUUUAUUCAUUUCCUCAUCAGAGAGAGAGCAGAAAGAGGAGGUGGGAGGAGGGAAGUCAUUUUAGAGAUGAAGAAACUGAGUCUUGCAUAAGGCUCCACUGACAAACAGCAGCCCACAAAUACUCUGGAUUUGCAGAUUUUCCUCAGAGCUGCAGCAAACAACCAGCUGAACUUGCUAAGGAGCCCAGAGUCAAAGCCAUUUGCAGCGUAAGGAGGAGGGUUGAGGGGUGGGCAUUUGGCCUAGUGGCUGAGACACCUGUUAAGAUACUCACAUCCCACAUCACAGUACAUGGGUUUGAUUCUUUGCUCCGGCUCCUGACUUCAGCUCCCUGCAAUUGGAGACCCUAGAAAGCAGCGGUCACAGCUCAGGUAACUGAGUUUCUGCCACCUGUGUGGGAAACCUGGAUAGAGUUCCUAGCUUCUGGCUUCCAGCCCAGUCCAGGCCAAUGUAACUAUUUGGGGAGCAAAUAAGAGGAUGGCAGCUCGCUCUCUGCCGCUGCCUCUUAAAUAAAUAAAUAAAUAAUUUUUUAAACAAAAGAAGAGGAUGGCUGUGGAGAGUGGAUUAAAAAAGCAGAUAAUAACAGAAAUUCCACUUAAAAGACUGUUAACUGUGGGAUACUAGGGCAUGAGGGGAGAGUAAAUUCAUCUGGAAUUUUCCUAUAAGAAAAAGGAUCUAAUAAUAAGAAUCUGACUUGCUGCUUUUUUUUUUAGUUUACUUAUUUAUUUUAUAUUAUUUAUUUAUUGGAAAGGGCAACAGAAAGAGAAGAAGAGACAGAGAGAAAGAUCUUCCAUUCACUGGUUCACUCCCCAAAUAGUCACAACAGCCAGAUUUGGGCCAGGCCAAAGCCAGGAGCCUGGAACUCCAUCCUGGCCUCCCACGUGGGUGGCAAGGGCCCAGGUACUUGCCAGGUGCUUUUCCAGGUGCAUUAACAGGAAGCUAGACCAGAAGCAGAGCAGCUGGAGUUCCAAUAUGGGAUGCCGGUGCUCCUGGCGACAGCCUAACCUACUGUACCACCAAUCCCGACCUUAGUGCUUUGCUUCAAGGUCAAGGUUUUUUUGUAUGACUACUGAACUUCAUAUUCUCUUGAUACCAUUUCUUAGAGACAGAGAGGCCAAGAGGCCUGGAUCUCCUAAUGCUUGUCUGAUGGAAGCAGCUGAUGAUUCUGAUUUUAACCCAACACCUAGUAAUGUGCCCUGUGGUCUGGGCACUUCUGUGAUUUCUUGUUUGAUUUUUGCUGCAACCCUGCCAGGUGUGCAUUCUCCUCCUAUUUGAAUGAACAAUUGAGAGGCUCUUUAGACCCAAUCUCCUCAACUGAGUUCAAGGAAAUUUGCCAAGUAACAGCUUUAAUUCAUUUUCUAGCAAAUCAUGUCUCAGAAACAGAAGGUCAGAAGCCGGAGAGGUUAAGAAACUUAGGAGCCACAAUCCAUAUAUUCAAAUUCUGGCUUUGUUUCUCACUAACAAGUGACCCUAGAUAAGUUUUCACUUUAUUGUAUCUCAAAAUAACAAUAGUAAUAAUAAGAAUAUAAUGUCUACAAAACCCAUGGAAGAGUGCCUGACAGAUUGUAAGCCCUAUAUAUGGUAGCUAUUAGUUUUGGACAUUAUAUACCAAUUUUUAAAAAGAUUGAUUUGAAAAAUAAGGAGAUGGGAGAGAAUUAUUCCAUUUGCUGGUUCAUUCCUCAGAUGCCUGAAUAGCCAGGGCUAGGCCAAGUCAAAGCCAUGUAGCAGGAACUCCUCUGGGUCUCCCACAUGGGUGACAGGGACCCAAACACUUGGGCCACCUUUUGCUGCCUCCCAGGUGCAUUAUCAGGUAGCUGGAUCAGAAACAAUCCAGCAUUGCAAUAUGGGAUCCAGGUGUCCCAAGUGGCAGCUUACUCUGCUGUGCCACAGGGUCCACCCCUAGAUACCAAUUUUUACCAAUGAAGAAAUGCAGCUGCAGAAUUGGAGUAAGCAGCCCAUGGCCACACCCCUGGUAAGGGCUGUAAAAGCAGCAGCUUACACUCACCCUUAGCGUGCAACAGCUGUUAGAGCACAGAUCUGGAGAUGAAGCAAACCUGGGCUUGCAGCUUGACCCUGCAAUUUACUAGCUCUGUGAUCUCAGGCAAGUCAGUUAACGUCCCUGCACCUCCGUUUACUCAUCCAUAAAUUGGGCAUACUCAUACUUCCCUUGCAAGGGUUAGGUGUGGAUGUCUUGAUAGUGCCCAGAAUAGGCGUGGGCAUCUAAGUGCUGCAGUUAGGAUGCCACCUGUGAUGCCUGCAUUCCUUAACACAGUGCCUGGAACCGAAUGCUGGUUCUGCUUCUGAUUCCAGCUUCCUGCUCAUGCUCACCCUGGGAAGCAGCAGGUGAUGGUAGUUGGGUCGCUGCCAUUUAUAUGGGAGACUUGGAUUGAGUUCCUAGAUCCUGGCUUCAGCUUGACUUAGCCCCAGCUGUUGCAUUUGGAGAGUGAACCACAUGAUUAGAGAACUCUGUCUUCCAAAAAAAAAAAAAUUAAG
Molecule: non-coding RNA, 10193 nt
Organism: Oryctolagus cuniculus (rabbit)
Lineage: Eukaryota; Metazoa; Chordata; Mammalia; Lagomorpha; Leporidae
Source: RefSeq, a predicted model, not a curated record